CACUUGGAGUGCUUCAGGGAUCGCCCCCUGAGCCUGGCCCUGGCCUUUGAGGCGCUCCUCCAGCUAAGUUUUAUGAGACCCCAUUUCAGCCACGCUACGAUCAGUGCUAUCCUGCACAAGACAAUUGAAGCUGUACUGGGGGGACAGGAGGAGGACAAAGAGGAACUGAAGAGGCCAUUCGAGAGUCUGCUGGGGGGUCUGCUCCUAGAAGCCCCUAAUCCUGGCACCCUCCUCCAGCUUCUUACUG
Molecule: long non-coding RNA, 247 nt
Organism: Lacerta agilis (Sand lizard)
Lineage: Eukaryota; Metazoa; Chordata; Lepidosauria; Squamata; Lacertidae
Exons: 3
Source: RefSeq, a predicted model, not a curated record